CAGUAGCCACGGGAAUACAGAGGGUGCGAGCGUUAAUCGGAUUUACUGGGCGUAAAGCGUGCGUAGGCGGCUUUUUAAGUCGGAUGUGAAAUCCCUGAGCUUAACUUAGGAAUUGCAUUCGAUACUGGGAAGCUAGAGUAUGGGAGAGGAUGGUAGAAUUCCAGGUGUAGCGGUGAAAUGCGUAGAGAUCUGGAGGAAUACCGAUGGCGAAGGCAGCCAUCUGGCCUAAUACUGACGCUGAGGUACGAAAGCAUGGGGAGCAAACAGGAUUAGAUACCUCAGUAGUCCCUGUCUCUUAUAA
RNAcentral lists this ribosomal RNA (301 nucleotides) under uncultured bacterium. RNAcentral's name for it is "partial 16S ribosomal RNA". It matches the Rfam family "Bacterial small subunit ribosomal RNA", at positions 509 to 809 of the family's 1533-position model. The record is from RNAcentral.